RNAcentral lists this ribosomal RNA (174 nucleotides) under Enoploides sp. FUN005. Its description in RNAcentral is "partial 18S ribosomal RNA". It matches the Rfam family "Eukaryotic small subunit ribosomal RNA", at positions 245 to 417 of the family's 1831-position model. RNAcentral also lists the same sequence under 27 other names. The record is from RNAcentral. Lineage: Eukaryota; Metazoa; Nematoda; Enoplea; Enoplida; Thoracostomopsidae.
GGUGAAUCUGAAUAACUAUGCCGAUCGCACAGUCCUCGAACUGGCGACGUAUCUUUCAAAUGUCUGCCUUAUCAACUUUCGAUGGUAGUUUACACGGCUACCAUGGUUUUAACGGGUAACGGAGAAUUAGGGUUCGACUCCGGAGAGGGAGCCUGAGAAACGGCUACCACAUCC